GUGGGUAGUUUGACUGGGGCGGUCUCCUCCCAAAGAGUAACGGAGGAGCACGAAGGUUGGCUAAUCCUGGUCGGACAUCAGGAGGUUAGUGCAAUGGCAUAAGCCAGCUUGACUGCGAGCGUGACGGCGCGAGCAGGUGCGAAAGCAGGUCAUAGUGAUCCGGUGGUUCUGAAUGGAAGGGCCAUCGCUCAACGGAUAAAAGGUACUCCGGGGAUAACAGGCUGAUACCGCCCAAGAGUUCAUAUCGACGGCGGUGUUUGGCACCUCGAUGUCGGCUCAUCACAUCCUGGGGCUGAAGUAGGUCCCAAGGGUAUGGCUGUUCGCCAUUUAAAGUGGUACGCGAGCUGGGUUUAGAACGUCGUGAGACAGUUCGGUCCCUAUCUGCCGUGGGCGCUGGAGAAUUGAGGGGGGCUGCUCCUAGUACGAGAGGACCGGAGUGGACGCAUCACUGGUGUUCGGGUUGUCAUGCCAAUGGCACUGCCCGGUAGCUAAAUGCGGAAGAGAUAAGUGCUGAAAGCAUCUAAGCACGAAACUUGCCCCGAGAUGAGUUCUCCCUGAGACUUUAAGUCUCCUGA
RNAcentral lists this ribosomal RNA (575 nucleotides) under Enterobacter hormaechei. RNAcentral's name for it is "partial 23S ribosomal RNA". It matches the Rfam family "Bacterial large subunit ribosomal RNA", at positions 2261 to 2831 of the family's 2925-position model. The record is from RNAcentral. RNAcentral also lists the same sequence under 1 other name. Lineage: Bacteria; Pseudomonadati; Pseudomonadota; Gammaproteobacteria; Enterobacterales; Enterobacteriaceae.